UACGUAGGGUGCGAGCGUUGUCCGGAAUUAUUGGGCGUAAAGGGCUCGUAGGCGGUUUGUCGCGUCGGGAGUGAAAACACUGGGCUUAACCGAGUGCUUGCUUUCGAUACGGGCAGACUUGAGGCAUUCAGGGGAGAACGGAAUUCCUGGUGUAGCGGUGAAAUGCGCAGAUAUCAGGAAGAACACCCGUGGCGAAGGCGGUUCUCUGGGACGGUACUGACGCUGAGACGCGAAAGCGUGGGGAGCGAACAGG
This 253-nucleotide ribosomal RNA is filed under the name uncultured bacterium. RNAcentral describes it as "partial 16S ribosomal RNA". It matches the Rfam family "Bacterial small subunit ribosomal RNA", at positions 524 to 776 of the family's 1533-position model. The record is from RNAcentral.